CCCUUAGAUGUUCUGGGCCGCACGCGUGCUACACUGAGUGGAUCAGCGGGUCAGGUUGCGCGAAAGUGUUUCCUAAUCUUUAAAUCCGCUCGUGAUGGGGAUUGACGGUUGCAAUUUUCCGUCAUGAACGAGGAAUACCUUGUAAGCGCGGGUCAUCAUCCCGCGCUGAAUACGUCCCUGCCCUUUGUACACACCGCCCGUCGCUCCUACCGAUUGAAUGAUCCGAUGAAUAUCAUGGAUUGAGGAUGCAAGUAGGUUCGCCUAUCUUCAUCUUCGAGAAGUGAAGUAAAUCUUAUCAUUUAGAGGAAGGAGAAGUCGUAACA
This 323-nucleotide ribosomal RNA is filed under the name uncultured eukaryote. Its description in RNAcentral is "partial 18S ribosomal RNA". It matches the Rfam family "Eukaryotic small subunit ribosomal RNA", at positions 1470 to 1796 of the family's 1831-position model. The record is from RNAcentral.